AGAGCACAAGGUGAAUGCCUUGGCUGCAUAAGGCGAUGAAGGACGUAAUAACCUGCGAUAAGCCUCGGGGAGCUGGUAAAUAAGCUUCGAUCCGAGGAUUUCCGAAUGGGAAAACCCAAUAUACAUAAGUAUAUUAUCUUAUACUGAAUACAUAGGUAUAAGAGGCGAACCUGGGGAACUGAAACAUCUAAGUACCCAGAGGAAAAGAAAUCAACAGAGAUUCCGGUAGUAGCGGCGAGCGAAACCGGACCAGCCCUUAAGCUUAUUUUAGUCCAGCAAAAUAUUCUGGAAAGUUUGACCAUAGUGGGUGAUAGUCCCGUAUGCGAAAGACUAAUUUAAGUGAAAUCGAGUAGGUCGGAACACGUGAAAUUCUGACUGAAUAUGGGGGGACCAUCCUCCAAGGCUAAAUACUCUAUGCAGACCGAUAGUGAACCAGUACCGUGAGGGAAAGGCGAAAAGAACCCCGGCGAGGGGAGUGAAAUAGAACCUGAAACCUUGUGCUUACAAGCAGUCGGAGCAGACUUGUUCUGUGACGGCGUACCUUUUGUAUAAUGGGUCAACGACUUAAUUUCAGUAGCAAGCUUAACCAUAUAGGGUAGGCGUAGGGAAACCGAGUCUUAAUAGGGCGCUCAGUUGCUGGAAUUAGACCCGAAACCGGGUGAUCUAUCCAUGGCCAGUGUGAAGGUCGAGUAACAUCGACUGGAGGCGCGAACCCACUUAUGUUGAAAAAUGAGGGGAUGAGCUGUGGAUAGGAGUGAAAGGCUAAUCAAACCCGGAGAUAGCUGGUUCUCUUCGAAAACUAUUUAGGUAGUGCCUCGUGUAUUACUGUAGGGGGUAGAGCACUGUUUCGGCUAGGGGGUCAUCCCGACUUACCAAACCGAUGCAAACUCCGAAUACCUACAAGUAUGAGCACGGGAGACAGACUGCGGGUGCUAACGUCCGUAGUCGAGAGGGAAACAACCCAGACCGUCAGCUAAGGUCCCAAAUUAUGAUUAAGUGGGAAACAAUGUGGGAAGGCACAAACAGCUAGGAGGUUGGCUUAGAAGCAGCCAUCCUUUAAAGAAAGCGUAAUAGCUCACUAGUCGAGUCGGCCUGCGUGGAAGAUAUAACGGGGCUAAAUCAUAAACCGAAGCUACAGAUCUUAAAUUUAUUUAAGAUGGUAGAAGAGCGUUCUGUAAGCGGAUGAAGGUGAGCUGAGAGGCGAGCUGGACGUAUCAGAAGUGCGAAUGUUGACAUGAGUAACGAUCAAAGAGGUGAAAAACCUCUUCGCCGAAAAACCAAGGGUUCCUGUCCAACGCUAAUCGUGGCAGGGUGAGGCGGCCCCUAAGGCGAGGGCGAAAGCCGUAGUCGAUGGGAAACAGGUUAAUAUUCCUGUACUUUUUAUAACUGCGAUGGGGUGACGGAGAAGGUUAGGCUAGCACGGCGACGGUUGUCCGUGUUCAAGGUUGUAGGCUGGUGUUCUAGGUAAAUCCGGAACGCCAUAUAGGCUGAGGACUGAUAACGACCACUCUACGAGUGGGAAGUAGCUGAUACCAUGCUUCCAGGAAAAACCUCUAAGCUUCAGGUUAUAAGAAACCGUACCCUAAACCGACACAGGUGGUUAGGUCGAGUAGACCAAGGUGUUUGAGAGAACUAUGGUGAAGGAACUAGGCAAAAUAGCACCGUAACUUCGGGAGAAGGUGCGCUAUAUUUAGUGAUGAGACUUGCUCUCUGAGCUGAAUGUAGUCGAAGAUACCAGGUGGCUGCGACUGUUUACUAAAAACAUAGCACUCUGCAAACUCGUAAGAGGAAGUAUAGGGUGUGACGCCUGCCCGGUGCCGGAAGGUUAAUUGAUGGGGUUAGCGUAAGCGAAGCUCUUGAUCGAAGCCCCGGUAAACGGCGGCCGUAACUAUAACGGUCCUAAGGUAGCGAAAUUCCUUGUCGGGUAAGUUCCGACCUGCACGAAUGGCGUAACGAUGGCCACACUGUCUCCACCAUAGACUCAGUGAAAUUGAAAUCGCAGUGAAGAUGCUGUGUACCCGCGGCUAGACGGAAAGACCCCGUGCACCUUUACUACAGCUUUGCACUGGACUUUGACACUAUCUGUGUAGGAUAGGUGGGAGACUAUGAAGCUUGAGCGCU
RNAcentral lists this ribosomal RNA (2121 nucleotides) under marine metagenome. RNAcentral describes it as "bacterial LSU rRNA". It matches the Rfam family "Bacterial large subunit ribosomal RNA", at positions 14 to 2172 of the family's 2925-position model. The record is from RNAcentral.